UUCUGCCUCAUGUCUUUAUACUUACUUCCC
RNAcentral lists this non-coding RNA (30 nucleotides) under Rattus norvegicus (Norway rat). Lineage: Eukaryota; Metazoa; Chordata; Mammalia; Rodentia; Muridae. The record is from RNAcentral.